RNAcentral lists this long non-coding RNA (1085 nucleotides) under Mytilus galloprovincialis (Mediterranean mussel). The record is from RNAcentral. Lineage: Eukaryota; Metazoa; Mollusca; Bivalvia; Mytilida; Mytilidae.
GUUGUGGACUUUUCAUUUAUUUUUACAUCGUACAUACUGAUAGAAAUGCUAUUUAAAGACUUUGUUAGAAAAGAAUAGAAUUAUUGAGAAAGUGGAAUAAUUUAGUGUGACAUGUCACUUGAUAUUCAUGUUUUUUAUCGGAGUGAUGUGUAUUGAAUUAUAAGGUGUCUUCGUCGAGGUCCGCGUUCAGCGGUCUGUUUGAUUGUACAUAGAAUUGAAUAGAAUGUUUUUUGUUUUCAGAUGGUGUUACCUACAGCUUUGACAGGGUGACGAAUGAAGGAGAAGUAAUAUGACAUUGCACGAUGAUUCAUGUCAAUGAGUUCGAACAACCUUUUUAAAAGGAAAGGAUUUUUUCUAAUCAGAAUAUGGUGAGAACAAAUUACAAUUGAAGUAAUGUUUUGAUUUCUGAAAAUAGGAAAAUAAUGAAUGGGGAAAAUAUUGAUACUACACUAAAUUAUGUAUGUCUGUGUUGAGAAAGGCAGAAGAUGCCAAUAUGGCACGGUACUAAAAAAAAAAAAAAAAAAAAAAAAUCUGUGAUGGAAGCAGCUUUAUGUUCAAAUGAACCUAUUUAAAAGUAAUGCUAAUAAUUUUUUCCGUAAUUUCAUGAUGUUUUCUAUUGGAUGUGUAUAUUUAAUUUCAUUGAUGUGUUGAAAUAUGUCACAAAAAUCUUUUUGUCAUGGGAGAUUAAAUAAUGGUUGCAAUAUUUUUGUUUUGUUUUGUUUUAUCUAAAUUAAUAAAUAAAUAUAAUGUUGAAUGAUUUUGUAUACUAGUACAAAUGUAUACUUAAAUUUUAUGUAUGGUUAAAUUUUUUUAAUUUAAAUUUCUUUGUCUACAGUUCGAGGGACACUGAUUCCCUAGUGGUUUUCCACGUGGAUUGUAGGCAAAGGGAUUUUUCCUUUUCAAAGUGUGACUAAUGCUGUCUUUAGUACAAAUAAACAAUUUGUUAUUGGUUAAUAUAUUUUCAGCAGACAUGUGAAGAAUCGAGUGGAAAUACAAUUGUCAAUGUUCCUGAUUAUGAAGUAAAGAGUGUGUUUGAUUCAACAACAGUAAAGAAAGAGACAAGCCAGCAUAGUUUUACACUUGGA